This is a long non-coding RNA of Orcinus orca (killer whale), 4640 nucleotides long. RefSeq lists it as uncharacterized. Lineage: Eukaryota; Metazoa; Chordata; Mammalia; Artiodactyla; Delphinidae. The record is from RefSeq and is a predicted model, not a curated record. The transcript has 4 exons.
GGGAGAGGCCACAACAGUGAGAGGCCCUCGUACCACAAAAAACAAACAAACAAACAAAAAAGAGUAUUACGAUAGAGAGAUUAUCCUAGAUUACCUGGGUGGGCCUUAAACAUCACAAAUGUUCUUAUAAGAAGGAGGCACAAGGAGAUUUCAGACAGAAGAGGAGAAGGCAGUGUGAUCACAGAGGUAGAGAUUGGAGCAAUGUGGCCAUAAGCCAAGGAAUGUCAGCAGCCCCCAGGAGCUGGAGGGGGCAGAGAAUGUGUUUUCCUCAGCCCAGUGAUACUCAUUUUGGACUUUUAGCCUCCAGAACUGUGAGAGAAUGCACUUCUGUUAAGCCACCCAGUUUGUGACAAUCUGUUACAGCAAACAUAGGAAACCAGCCAACAUUUAUUGCCCAUUCAAAUGAUACUAUGUACCAGGCACUGCACUAAGAGUUUUGCAAAGACGAACUCAUUUAAUCUUUCAACGCUUCUGUGAGGUUGGCAUACUCAUCCCCAUUUUACAGAUGAGAAAACUGAGAUAUAAAGAGGUUAAGUAAUUUGCCUGAAGUCACACAGCUGGUAAAUAGAAGAGCUGAAUUCUAAACUUGGGACCCAGGCAGUCUGGCCCUGGGGUCCACAGUGGUCACCACUGCGCUGUACUCCGCACUGUACUGGGAGGGUCCAGGUUAGAACCAAUUUCCCUGGCAUCCCCCAGGAGUCCUGUAAAUCCCACACAGGAGGACACAAGGGCACAGGCAAGGGUGUAAGGUCAUGUCAUCUGCGUCCCACAAGGAAUGUCUGCACGGUCUCCAGCCUUCCUGCCGGUGGCCCUCGCUCUUUCCCUGAAACCAUGAAGGAAUGACCUUCAUCCCUAGUUUCCUAGGAUCCACAGGCAUCUCUCAGCCUUUCAGAUGUUCUCAUUCCUGCUGUAACCUCAGAUCCCAGAUGCUGUGAUCUUACAUUGGUCCCUCCCUGUCUCUAAAUAUUUUGGAUACACAGGGAAGAGAGGGGAGACACCGUUUACUGUUGCUCUCUACUAAGUUUGCUGUGUCAUUUAGCAUUUAUGAGCAAGAAUAUUUAAAAGGUCCUGGAUAUAAAUUGUGAAAUAGAAAUAAGAACUUGGGAGAAGGCUGUCCCUUUAUUCCUGGCAUCUUGAAGAGGUUGUUUGACCUUUUCUUUCCUGCCUGAUCCCUCUUCUCCACUGCUGUCCCUGCAGAGCUGACCUUCAGAGCAAGAAUUGGAUUAAAAAGUCCCCCACUUCCUGUCCCCUUGGCUACCCACAGCUUCCAGCCCAGACCACUGGGUAGCUUUCAUGGGCUCACGCUACCCUUGGAAAAGAGCAGAAGGCCUCCGGCUGUCACCUUGGAUUGCCUUUCAGUGUUGACCCUGAGUCAAAAAGGAGAGGCGGGAGAGUCUUUGGAAGUAGAAGUGGGACAGAUUGUCUUAGUAAAGCUGGAAGUGCUUGCAGUCAGGUGCUGGCUGAUCCUGCAAAAGCUGAGCCAACUCAGGGAAAACCGAAUGCUCUGUGUUCCUCUUCUCAGCCCGACCUUCCUUCUGCUUUCCUCCCUUAACCUGCUUCUGUCACAUAUGCAAGUCAUCUUCCGCUAGUAGUUGUGGCAUCACUGGAGUUUACCAGGGUAACUGCAGUUUGCAGUAUCUUAGGAAACUUAAGUUAGACUGCUGAUUCUCAAGAAGGGUGGGGAGAGUAGCAGGAACCCUUGGGGGCAGGCAGGGGAAAUGAUAGGACAUGUGGCAUUUCCCAGGAGAGGGGAAAGCCCUGGUUUUCUUAAUGCAGUCUAUAGAAAGUACAGUUUGUGUUGAUCAGAAGUGGGAGUUGGUUGAAAAUAGAUUGAGAAACAGUGAAGUAGUUGAUAUAAUACUUUACUACUGGCUCUCAGAAAAGUUUAGAUGAACCAAGAUCCUCUGCCAGCUCCUUCCGUCUUAGAAGAAUUCAGGUCCCAUAGUGAGCAGUGAAUACUUAACAACAGAAGGGAGGAUGGGACCAUGCAAAUGAAGUCUUCUUAGUUUAGCAGGUGUCUUCAGGGUCCUCCUUUUUUUUUUUUUUUUUUUUGCCUUGGGCCCUUGUGAUACCACGGCCCAAAGCCACAGUGAAUUAGCACCUGAGAGUCCCCUUCUGUCUCAAGAAGUCUUUGCCACCGUGCAUAAAGCUGAAAAGCUUGUAUCUUAGUUGGGGACUGUCAAAUGUGCCCAGAAUGCCAAAUGACAGAGACUUAAACACGCAGAGCUUUCUUUUUCUCAUGUCACACGAAGGAAAUAGGGAACCCAAGGCUGGUGCAGCUGCCCAGGAGCAGCCCUCAAAAACACACGCUCCUUCUAGCUUUUCUGUUCUGCCAUCCCUAGAUUUUGGCUUUCUGCUUCGUAAUCUUAAGAAGCAUCUAUAUUCUGAGCAGGAAAACAAGGCGGGGGACGGGACAGAGAGCAAAAGACACAUGAGAGCCAGAUCUAUCCCUUUUAAAACUUUUUUUAAAUAGACUUUAUUUUGUACAGUAGUUUUAGGUUCACAGCGAAAUUGAGCAGAAGGUACAGAGAUAAACCACACACCCCACACACGCGUAGUUUCCCCCAUUGUUGACAUUCCCCACCAGAGUGGUACAUUUGUUGCAGUUAAUGAACCCGCACAUCAUUAUCACCCAAUCUACCCCUUUUUGAAUCAGGAAAAUUAUAGCUUUUCUAGAAGCCCUACCCAGCCAAUUUCUGCCUAGUUCUCAUUGGCUAGCACUGUAUCUCAUGACAACUCCUGGCUACAAGGGCAUCUGGGAAGAUGAUUAUUAACUGAGCACUUUCCCAAUCUGACAAAAUUGGGUUAGGAAGAAGGAGAGAGUACCAAAAUUAUAUAAAUCUGGAAUAGCAAAUAUGGAGAGGAAGAAUACUUCUAAGACUAUAAUAUCUAUCAUGGCCAUAAAAAGGUGUGGAAUUUUAGGGAGGGUUUUUAGAAAUUGUUUUGAUUGAAGGGUAACGUAUACACAAUAAAGAGUACCAAUCUUGGGGGUAAGCUGAUGACUUUUAACAUAUAUAUACAUUUGUGUGACCACUUGACUGGAGGAAGAUAGAGACCAUUUUCAGCACCUUUAUAAGUCCCCUCAUGCCCACCUCAGUUAGCAACCCUCCCACCCCUGAGAUACCCACUAUUCCAGCUUCUACCACUUAGAGACGGAUAUUAACCAUCAUAAAUGUUGGAAGGAAAACAGAUGAUGGAUGGAGAAGAACAAAAGGGAAGAAUAAGGCCAAAUAAAUGGCUGCUUUUGUGAUAUCGCUGCUCUCCUUUGCCUCCUAAAUUAUUCUAAUUCCAUUUUGAAAAUGGAAUUUUAAAUGUCAUCAGAAAAAGUCAUCAAAAACUGAAGACUGAAAUUUUAGUUUUCUGUAAAGUUGAUAUAUGCUGAAACUUCAAUCAGUUAGGACUGGAUUCUAUUGCACAUAAUGUAACAACCCUAGGCAAUUAAUAGUGGUGUAAAUGAGAUAGAAUUAUAUUUCUCUGUCACAUAAAAGCAGCCUGAAGGUAUGUAGUCGAGGACUGUGCUUGGCAGCCCCAGGAAUACUUCGGAGCUCUCUAGGCCUCUGCUCUUCCAGUCCUAGGUGGCCUUCCUCCUCGUGGUCAAAUAUGCAACCUGGAACUCCAGCCAUCACAUCUAUGUUCCUGGCAACAGAAUAGAGGAAGGGAAGAAGCGUUCACUCCUUCUCAAUUUAACAGACGUCUUAGAAGUUCCACAUAACACUUCUGCUAAUAACUCACUGACAGGAACUUAAGUCACAGGACCACACCACCUGCAAAGAGGUCUGGGAAAGUGGUCUUUUAGCUGGGUGCAAUGUGCUGUUAAAAAUCGGACUUUUUAAUAAGCGGAAAAACUGGUAGUCUCUUCCAAAUUGCACUUCUGCAGCUUUUGCAGGUGUCAUCUGUUUCUCGGUCAAAUAACCUAAGCACAGCACUGUAGGAUAGGAGCCAGGAGCCUGGCCACUGAAGCAGCAGCCAUCCCACGUGGUUGGUGGAGGGACAGCCCCAGUUGUCCAGGAAAGCCACGCUGCUGUAUCCUCAGUGCCCAGUCCAGCUGAGAACCGUGGGCCACAGAGCGUGCUGCUGUGGAAGCAGAGGUGAGACUAGGGCUCAGCUCCUGCCACUAACUUUGCCCUUGGAGCGUCCAGGGAAAGCAAAGCUCCAAUUUACCCUGCUCGACAGGCUCCAGCUGCUCUGCCCAGGGGCCCAUCUGCCUCCUACCUCAUCCUGACACCUCAGACUUGCCGCUUCUACCUUUCCCGGACAAGAAGUGUUCCUACAAGGAUUUGGAAGUUUCAGAAGUGCCCUCCUGCCACAUGAAGGUUCUAUGCCUGGUUUCUGUGGUACCUCCUUCCUUCUCUCCAGCGUCAUGCGCCCCGGACAGCUGUAGCUUCCCCAGAUGCUCCCACAAGUCUCUUGGAUCAGGAAACUGAGGGCAAGGUGACAACCAGAUCAUGCGUUUCACCUCUCCGUGAAUGAAAGGGGCUGGAGCACCAAACAAGACAGACAUCGUUCUCGCCUUCAUGGGAUUUACAUUCCAGUUGGUGGGGAUAGGGGGAGAAUACAACAGUAUCUACGUGAAUAUAGAGGAUAUAGAUAUAUAUUGUGUGGCACAUUCUAUGAAGGAAAUAAAAUCGGAUGGUACAAUA